Beta vulgaris subsp. vulgaris (sugar beet) is the source of this 72-nucleotide transfer RNA. It matches the Rfam family "tRNA". From Rfam's summary of the family: Transfer RNA (tRNA) molecules are approximately 80 nucleotides in length. Their secondary structure includes four short double-helical elements and three loops (D, anti-codon, and T loops). Further hydrogen bonds mediate the characteristic L-shaped molecular structure. tRNAs have two regions of fundamental functional importance: the anti-codon, which is responsible for specific mRNA codon recognition, and the 3' end, to which the tRNAs corresponding amino acid is attached (by aminoacyl-tRNA synthetases). tRNAs cope with the degeneracy of the genetic code in two manners: having more than one tRNA (with a specific anti-codon) for a particular amino acid; and 'wobble' base-pairing, i.e. permitting non-standard base-pairing at the 3rd anti-codon position. The record is from Rfam. NCBI's taxonomy places the organism in Eukaryota, Viridiplantae, Streptophyta, Magnoliopsida, Caryophyllales, Amaranthaceae.
UAGGAGUUAGCUCAAGUGGGUAGAGCGCUCCCUCUUGGCCCUUGAGGUCAAGGGUUCGAUCCUUACUCCUAG